AUCCCAGAUAAGCUGAGUUUUCGUGCUUAUCUGAUUCAUAGGAGGCCAAAAACGACUCUGGAAGUUUCGCUGAUAAAUGCCUUAUUUUCUUAUUUUACGAAGGCGUUUACUAGUAACUCUGCCAUACAUUG
Rosa rugosa (rugosa rose) is the source of this 131-nucleotide small nucleolar RNA. The record is from RefSeq and is a predicted model, not a curated record. Lineage: Eukaryota; Viridiplantae; Streptophyta; Magnoliopsida; Rosales; Rosaceae.